This 1461-nucleotide ribosomal RNA is filed under the name Staphylococcus aureus. Its description in RNAcentral is "bacterial SSU rRNA". It matches the Rfam family "Bacterial small subunit ribosomal RNA". The record is from RNAcentral. Lineage: Bacteria; Bacillati; Bacillota; Bacilli; Caryophanales; Staphylococcaceae.
UGGCUCAGGAUGAACGCUGGCGGCGUGCCUAAUACAUGCAAGUCGAGCGAACGGACGAGAAGCUUGCUUCUCUGAUGUUAGCGGCGGACGGGUGAGUAACACGUGGAUAACCUACCUAUAAGACUGGGAUAACUUCGGGAAACCGGAGCUAAUACCGGAUAAUAUUUUGAACCGCAUGGUUCAAAAGUGAAAGACGGUCUUGCUGUCACUUAUAGAUGGAUCCGCGCUGCAUUAGCUAGUUGGUAAGGUAACGGCUUACCAAGGCAACGAUGCAUAGCCGACCUGAGAGGGUGAUCGGCCACACUGGAACUGAGACACGGUCCAGACUCCUACGGGAGGCAGCAGUAGGGAAUCUUCCGCAAUGGGCGAAAGCCUGACGGAGCAACGCCGCGUGAGUGAUGAAGGUCUUCGGAUCGUAAAACUCUGUUAUUAGGGAAGAACAUAUGUGUAAGUAACUGUGCACAUCUUGACGGUACCUAAUCAGAAAGCCACGGCUAACUACGUGCCAGCAGCCGCGGUAAUACGUAGGUGGCAAGCGUUAUCCGGAAUUAUUGGGCGUAAAGCGCGCGUAGGCGGUUUUUUAAGUCUGAUGUGAAAGCCCACGGCUCAACCGUGGAGGGUCAUUGGAAACUGGAAAACUUGAGUGCAGAAGAGGAAAGUGGAAUUCCAUGUGUAGCGGUGAAAUGCGCAGAGAUAUGGAGGAACACCAGUGGCGAAGGCGACUUUCUGGUCUGUAACUGACGCUGAUGUGCGAAAGCGUGGGGAUCAAACAGGAUUAGAUACCCUGGUAGUCCACGCCGUAAACGAUGAGUGCUAAGUGUUAGGGGGUUUCCGCCCCUUAGUGCUGCAGCUAACGCAUUAAGCACUCCGCCUGGGGAGUACGACCGCAAGGUUGAAACUCAAAGGAAUUGACGGGGACCCGCACAAGCGGUGGAGCAUGUGGUUUAAUUCGAAGCAACGCGAAGAACCUUACCAAAUCUUGACAUCCUUUGACAACUCUAGAGAUAGAGCUUUCCCCUUCGGGGGACAAAGUGACAGGUGGUGCAUGGUUGUCGUCAGCUCGUGUCGUGAGAUGUUGGGUUAAGUCCCGCAACGAGCGCAACCCUUAAGCUUAGUUGCCAUCAUUAAGUUGGGCACUCUAAGUUGACUGCCGGUGACAAACCGGAGGAAGGUGGGGAUGACGUCAAAUCAUCAUGCCCCUUAUGAUUUGGGCUACACACGUGCUACAAUGGACAAUACAAAGGGCAGCGAAACCGCGAGGUCAAGCAAAUCCCAUAAAGUUGUUCUCAGUUCGGAUUGUAGUCUGCAACUCGACUACAUGAAGCUGGAAUCGCUAGUAAUCGUAGAUCAGCAUGCUACGGUGAAUACGUUCCCGGGUCUUGUACACACCGCCCGUCACACCACGAGAGUUUGUAACACCCGAAGCCGGUGGAGUAACCUUUUAGGAGCUAGCCGUCGAAG